UUAACGAUUGUAUAAGGACUCAGACAGCACAAUCAAAAGCGUGUGUGGGUCUCUGACGGGCACGCACCAGCCGGGGGGCCGGUGGCCGAACGGACGGCCCGCCAAAGCAACAAAGUUGGAUAAGCUAGGGUGGGAGAUCUACCCCGGGGGGCAGGAACUCGAUAAUGAUCCUUCCGCAGGUUCACCUACGGAAA
This 194-nucleotide unclassified non-coding RNA is filed under the name uncultured fungus. Its description in RNAcentral is "sequence contains ITS1". The record is from RNAcentral. Lineage: Eukaryota; Fungi.